GGUGGAUUGAUUUGUCUGGUUUAUUCCGAUAACGAACGAGACUCUAUCCUACUAAUAGUUUCACGAUUUUCAAGUCAUGUAGACUUCUUAGAGGGAUAAGCGGUGUUUAACCGCACGAGAUUGAGCGAUAACAGGUCUGUGAUGCCCUUAGAUGUCCGGGGCUGCACGCGCGCUACACUGGAGAAUUCAGCUGGUCUUCCAUUGCCGAAAGGUAUUGGUAAACCGUUGAAACUUCUCCGUGACCGGGAUAGGGAAUUGUAAUUAUUUCCCUUGAACGAGGAAUUCCUAGUAAGUGUGAGUCAUCAGCUCACGCUGAUUACGUCCCUGCCCUUUGUAC
Molecule: ribosomal RNA, 337 nt
Filed under: Nematoda environmental sample
Lineage: Eukaryota; Metazoa; Nematoda
Description: SSU rRNA
Rfam family: Eukaryotic small subunit ribosomal RNA
Source: RNAcentral